CUAAGUUCCACUCAGAGUAGACCCACUGAAACCAAUGGACUUAAAUUAGCAGUAUCCAUUGAUUUCAUUGGGCCUACACUGAGUGGAACUUAG
Non-coding RNA from Podarcis lilfordi (Lilford's wall lizard), 93 nucleotides. The record is from the annotation of a GenBank genome assembly. Lineage: Eukaryota; Metazoa; Chordata; Lepidosauria; Squamata; Lacertidae.